GGUUUACGUGAUCGAGAUAAAAUUCUCAAGAGAUCGAUAAAAUAAAAUAUAAGAAAACAUUAUGGCGAUCAAAUUCUACUACUUAAUUUUAAUCCGUUGGUAAAAAAAAAUUUCAAUGGAAAAUCAAUCUCGUAAAAUAUUGUUAACUUGAAAUUAAGACAGAGACCACAAUGUAAUAGUAACCAAGGUGUCGAUAAUGAAUCUUAGCGUUAAUUAGUCCGAGGUGAGACGAUAGGUAGUUCGUCGUGGCAUACCGAUAUCUCUUUAGCAGUGCCGUGAGCAUACUGAAGGAAAGAAGGAAGGAAAGAGAAGAAAGAGAAGAAGAAGAAGAAGAGAGUAAAGCCUAACUGAAACGUCACGCCACUUGUUACUCGUUAGUGUGCACGAUGCCAUCUUUACAACGAGCACAGAGGACCCUGAGGCCGAGUUACUCCCUACGGUAGCCGGCAUCGAUAGCGACCAAGAGCGUGUAAUUAACAAUGUUUCUCGUCUUUAUCCAGGUGGCGUCUGGAUUCGAAUCGUCGAGACGACGACGACGACGACGACGACAACGACGAUGCUCUGUAGCUUGGUCCAAUCUCGAAGGUAUCUUUCGAGAGUCGACAGCGAGUGUGCUUCCAUUACGUUGGGCGGUGGUCCCUCGUUAUAUCCGGGACGGGCAACUCCGUAGCUGCACAUCUGAUAAUCCAAGGAUUUAUGGCGGCCCUGAUGGUUCAUUUAGCGCCGACAUGGUCGACAGGGGCGGCGUCGAAAUAUCUUCGCGUGCGUGGCCGUGCUAACGCGACUAUGCGGAAAUAUCUCGUUAAAAAUGGGUUAGCUCGUUCGUGGAUGUUAAACGUCCUCGUUUGAACGAGACCUUCUUCGACGGUGAGCAAUGAGGAAGGGGAAGGAUUUAGUACUGCACCACGAAUCGCAGAACGGAUGGAACUUUCACUCGAUGGAAUCAUCAAAUAGCACGCCUUCUUCUCUUUACCGGCGAGAAAUUGAAAGAGAAAAAUUGUUCGAAGUUGGUUUGCUGCUUUGGGGGAUGCUGCUUGGCAUCGGACGACGAGACAGAGAGUGAAAGAAUGAAGAUGAACGAAGAAGAAGAGAGGUAGACGAAGAAGAAGAGGAAGAAGGGAAGAGGAGAGAAGGUCGCAUGGAAAAAUGUCUAAUUUAUUGGCCAACCGUUGAAGAACUCGUACGGGCUCCCUACGUAUACAUACUCAGCGCGUGCUCGUUCCUUUUUGUUGUUAGAAAUACGCAGGUGAAACAGGCUUGGCUCUUUCUUGCGAAGGUUAAACACCUGCGACAAUGCUUCUCGACGCCCUGAACUUCGAUGUCGUGACCUUUUCUUCCUCCGGCCCACCGAUCCACGAUCCACACUAGUCGUCUGUCUAUGUAUGUAUCCUUUUAUAGGUGUGUCGAAACGAUGCCUUUCAUCGACUUGAUAUCGGAUACUUUGCUA
Long non-coding RNA from Vespula pensylvanica (western yellowjacket), 1447 nucleotides. RefSeq lists it as uncharacterized. The record is from RefSeq and is a predicted model, not a curated record. NCBI's taxonomy places the organism in Eukaryota, Metazoa, Arthropoda, Insecta, Hymenoptera, Vespidae. The transcript has 4 exons.